UAAGGAAUAUUGCUCAAUGGGAGAAAUCCUGAAGCAGCAACGCCGCGUGGAGGAUGAAGGGUCUAUGACUUGUAAACUCCUGUAAAGAAGGAAAAAAUUCCCAUUAGAUGGGAGAUGAUGGUACUUCUGGAGUAAGCCCCGGCUAACUACGUGCCAGCAGCCGCGGUAAUACGUAGGGGGCAAGCGUUGUCCGGAUUUACUGGGUGUAAAGGGUGCUCAGGCGGAUUUGUAAGUCAGAGGUGAAAUCUUACAGCUUAACUGUGAAACUGCCUUUGAUACUGCAAGCCUAGAGUAUGGAAGAGAGUGAUGGAAUAUCUGGUGUAGCAGUGAAAUGUGUAGAUAUCAGAUAGAACACCAAUGGCGAAGGCAGUCACUUGGUCCAUUACUGACGCUAAAGCACGAAAGCGUGGGUAGCAAACA
RNAcentral lists this ribosomal RNA (420 nucleotides) under uncultured bacterium. RNAcentral's name for it is "bacterial SSU rRNA". It matches the Rfam family "Bacterial small subunit ribosomal RNA", at positions 355 to 774 of the family's 1533-position model. The record is from RNAcentral.